Long non-coding RNA from Carassius auratus (goldfish), 421 nucleotides. RefSeq lists it as uncharacterized. NCBI's taxonomy places the organism in Eukaryota, Metazoa, Chordata, Actinopteri, Cypriniformes, Cyprinidae. The transcript is spliced from 3 exons. The record is from RefSeq and is a predicted model, not a curated record.
CACAUUUUCAUUUGGUGGCGCUGUGGCUCCUGUGUGGCAGCACUGAUUGAAAGACUGGAAAUGGAGAGAAAUGCAAAACUCAAUCCUCUGGCAUCAGAUCCAGGACACUGCAGAACAGCUGAUCUGCCGUUAGCUGUGUAAAGCUCCCAGAGCCUAGCUGAAUUAAUCACAGCCACACGGACACGCGGGGGCAGCCUGAGGAUGAGGACCGAGAGAAGGCUUGGGAAGAAACCAUGCUGUGAGAAAAGAGUCAGAGCUGUAACAUCCAUGGAUUGGAAGGGAGUUGUUCCUUGUGUGUUGGGGAGCUCAGCUCCCUGGGGUCUGCUGUGGCCCUGAGCUUACCUUCACUGAGCUGCACCGCUGUGACCACUGACAGACUCACCGACUUAAAAAGAUUUAUAAGGUUAGUUUAAGGAUUUUU